RNAcentral lists this ribosomal RNA (301 nucleotides) under uncultured bacterium. Its description in RNAcentral is "partial 16S ribosomal RNA". It matches the Rfam family "Bacterial small subunit ribosomal RNA", at positions 509 to 807 of the family's 1533-position model. The record is from RNAcentral.
CAGUAGCCGCGGUAAUACAGAGGGUGCGAGCGUUAAUCGGAUUUACUGGGCGUAAAGCGUGCGUAGGCGGCUUUUUAAGUCGGAUGUGAAAUCCCUGAGCUUAACUUAGGAAUUGCAUUCGAUACUGGGAAGCUAGAGUAUGGGAGAGGAUGGUAGAAUUCCAGGUGUAGCGGUGAAAUGCGUAGAGAUCUGGAGGAAUACCGAUGGCGAAGGCAGCCAUCUGGCAUAAUACUGACGCUGAGGUACGAAAGCAUGGGGAGCAAACAGGAUUAGAGACCCCUGUAGUCCCUGUCUCUUAUAC